UUACUGCUCCUUUGUUCUCUGCUUUUUUGAUUUGAACAUCGAAGGAUCCUCGUCGGAGCCACAACCUUCGAUUUGGGACUUGUUUUGUAAGUCUUUCCAGUGCUAGCAUCCCUGCAUUAGGACUAGGCAUCUGAUUUUUGACUUCAAACAUUCGUCUUCCGACCUGAACCGAUUUGAGCAGCAACAGAUAGAGGAAGGGCCUACAUUCGCAUUCAUGGCUUCAAGACGGACAUCUUCCAGCUUUCCAAUGCCGCCACUUCCCGACAGGUGGCCAGCCAAGCUGAUAAUCAAGUUCAAUCACUAGCAUCGGAAGUCUCUCCAUCGGCUCAAUUGGUCCUCCCGGCACCUAUCACGGCUGACCAAUUUGGUUAGCUCUCUCAGAA
This 383-nucleotide long non-coding RNA is filed under the name Elaeis guineensis (African oil palm). RNAcentral's name for it is "long non-coding RNA (EGUI_LNC021115)". The record is from RNAcentral. Lineage: Eukaryota; Viridiplantae; Streptophyta; Magnoliopsida; Arecales; Arecaceae.